AUUGAACGCUGGCGGCAGGCCUAACACAUGCAAGUCGAGCGGAGCGGCGGACGGGUGCGUAAGGCCUAGGAAUCUGCCUGGUCGUGGUGGAUAAGGUCCGGAAAUGGGCGCGAAUGCUGCAUACUAUCAGUAGAGCCUAGGUCGGAUUAGCUAGUGGGAGGGGUAAAGGCCUACCAAGGCGACGGUCCGUAACUGGGCCGAGUGGAUGAUCAGUCACACUGGAACUGAGAAACGGUCCAGACUCCUACGGGAGGCAGCAGUGGGGAAUAUUGGACAAUGGGCGAAAGCCUGAUGCAGCCAUGCCGCGUGUGUGAAGAAGGUCUUCGGAUUGUAAAGCACUUUAAGUUGGGAGGCGUUACCAGCAGAAUAAGCACCGGCUAACUCCGUGCCAGCAGCCGCGGUAAUAC
RNAcentral lists this ribosomal RNA (407 nucleotides) under uncultured bacterium. RNAcentral describes it as "partial 16S ribosomal RNA". It matches the Rfam family "Bacterial small subunit ribosomal RNA", at positions 30 to 526 of the family's 1533-position model. The record is from RNAcentral.